Molecule: ribosomal RNA, 253 nt
Filed under: uncultured bacterium
Lineage: Bacteria
Description: partial 16S ribosomal RNA
Rfam family: Bacterial small subunit ribosomal RNA
Source: RNAcentral
UACGAAGGGGGCUAGCGUUGUUCGGAAUUACUGGGCGUAAAGCGCGUGUAGGCGGGUCUUUAAGUCCGGGGUGAAAUGCCAAGGCUCAACCUUGGAACUGCCUUUGAUACUGGAGGGCUUGAAUCCGGGAGAGGGAUGUGGAAUUCCAGGUGUAGCGGUGAAAUGCGUAGAUAUCUGGAGGAACACCGGUGGCGAAGGCGGCAUCCUGGACCGGUAUUGACGCUGAGGCGCGAAAGCUAGGGGAGCAAACGGG